RNAcentral lists this ribosomal RNA (207 nucleotides) under uncultured Geodermatophilus sp. RNAcentral describes it as "partial 16S ribosomal RNA". It matches the Rfam family "Bacterial small subunit ribosomal RNA", at positions 273 to 492 of the family's 1533-position model. Lineage: Bacteria; Bacillati; Actinomycetota; Actinomycetes; Geodermatophilales; Geodermatophilaceae. The record is from RNAcentral.
GCGACGACGGGUAGCCGGCCUGAGAGGGUGACCGGCCACACUGGGACUGAGACACGGCCCAGACUCCUACGGGAGGCAGCAGUGGGGAAUAUUGCGCAAUGGGCGAAAGCCUGACGCAGCGACGCCGCGUGAGGGAUGACGGCCUUCGGGUUGUAAACCUCUUUCAGCAGGGACGAAGCGAAAGUGACGGUACCUGCAGAAGAAGCA